This is a long non-coding RNA of Mugil cephalus (flathead mullet), 1943 nucleotides long. RefSeq lists it as uncharacterized. Lineage: Eukaryota; Metazoa; Chordata; Actinopteri; Mugiliformes; Mugilidae. The record is from RefSeq and is a predicted model, not a curated record. The transcript has 3 exons.
UCCACGAUCAUCAGCCCGACUCUCUCUUCCCUCUUGCAGGUCAGCCCAAACCUUUGCCAUCACGAGGAUUUGAGGCACACUUCCGCCUUAAAAGUUGUACACCACUACCUUUGAUAAUCAAGAUAGAACCUAAUUGAGCUCACCCAUGCAGAAGAUGCUCUCGCCUUUUCGCGCGCACACGGUUUUUGCGGAGACGGGGGCCUAUACUGUUUCAGCUCAUCCAACUGUGAGAUUCUCCUUUCCCCUUUCCAGUCCUGCCAUCAUCUCACUAAUGGUGUUUCUAUCUCUUCUCCAUAGGAGGUAAAUGAAGCUUUUAAGCAGGGCGGAGGGAAGGGGGACCGCUGAAAAGAUUAAUUGACUUGCUGUGGAGCUUCACUUAUCCUCCACUGGCACCUUUGACUUCCAUGUCGUUCACAUACAUGACUAGCUUGCGGAGCACCUCACCUGCUGUCCUGGUAUACUGUAAAUGUGCAGUCAUGGACAUACGCACGGAUGUAUACAGGUGCAGCUCACAUACACAGAGGUAUUAUGGCUCCAAAGGGACAACUUCUGGUAAGCAGUGGGUAGAGUGAGAGAGAGCGAGAAAAAGAAAAAGUGAAGAAGAGGAGGCAUAGGCUAUGAUUGGUUGCCAUCUAGUGGCUUCUACACUAUUCUAACUAGAGGAAGGUUAUGAGUACUAAAUUUCACAAUGCAUAACACAGAUCUCCUCCAAAUCAUUAAAGGCAUGUCAGGGAAGAUAAAUCUGUGUUUUGGAUAAGGCCUUUUUUACAGGUUUGAUUCUUUUUACAAAAAAAAAAACAAAAACAUGUUCUUAUUGGAAACAGGUUCUUUUGGAUGCAGCCCUGCAGAUUGAAUAUAAAAUUAUACUGACAUGAUGGCUGCAGGACAGGACUGAGAACAGUGAAUGCUUCAUGGUAUCUUUCAUAUAUUCUCCUAUAACGUGAUGUAAAACUGGUGAAAACCCUCACUCGUAUUUAGCAUGAAAAAAACAGCCUUUUAAAGAUUGAUCAUAGAGAAAUGUGUUUUAGUCCGUGCCCUCCUCUCUAUAAUUAUAGUUACACUAUAAUAUACACCCUUUAACUCGUUUUCUUGACUCAUGUCACACCUCAUAAUUAUCUUCUACGUUGCUCAGACAGGCUUGAUUAGAGCACAGUUUUUGCUCCAGGAGAGUGAAGUAGAAGUUAUGUAGUGGUUUUGUCUUUACAUUGUCAGAGCCAUUGUCAGGAGAUAUAAUGUUUGUUGCACUGAAUUAAUACACAUUUUUCCACACAUGAAAUUCUGACAUGUGGGCGAUAUGAUAAAAUGAAUUAUAUCUGAAUGGUAUAGGCUUUCUUUCAUCAUCGUGUGCAAAUGUUUUUUUUGUUAUUUCAGUGCAAGCAUUAUCUUUGUAGUCUAAUUUUGCAAAAUGUAACGUCCUUCUGCUCUGUGUUCAUUUGUACCUGCGGUUAAAAGUAGUUUGUUACUGUAUUUUGGAUGCACUAGAUUCUUCCGCAAAAGGGGAAAUAUAUGAUUCUACAAGGAUACUAUGACUGUCCUGUAAUAUUCCCAUUUGUACUCCAUGUUUUAUGUUUUAUAUUGAACUUUUAAUAUUGUAGAUGACAAAGAUUUUAUUGUCUAUUUAUUUUGUGUGUAUGUGUGUAAAUAUAUAUGUAUAUAUAUAUAUGUAUAUAUAUUACCUUUGACCUGACUAAAAGCUGCUAUUAGACAUUGCUACGAUACGAUAAAUUUCAAGGUUGUGUGCUAACUCACAACUGAAUGCAAAAAAAAAUAUGUUUAUGUAAUUAGUAACUCUUGUCUUUUUAUCACAAGUCAAGUCAAGAUUCAUAUUUUUUCUGGUUUAUUUUUCAUAAAAUCCUUUGUUAAUCUCAUGUUAAGAACUUUGGUAAAUGAUUGUAAUCCAUUCUCACAUGUGACUACUUAAACAAGGAAAAAAUAACUCUGGA